UACGUAGGGACCUAGCGUUGUCCGGAAUCAUUGGGCGUAAAGCGCGCGUAGGCGGCCCGGUAAGUCCGUUGUAAAAGUCGAAGGCUCAACCUUCGAAAGCCGGUGGAUACUGCCGGGCUAGAGUCCGGAAGAGGCGAGUAGAAUUCCUGGUGUAGCGGUGGAAUGCGCAGAUAUCAGGAGGAAUACCCCUAGCGAAGGCAGCUCGCUGGGACGGUACUGACGCUGAGGCGCGAAAGCGUGGGGAGCGAACAGG
This 253-nucleotide ribosomal RNA is filed under the name uncultured bacterium. RNAcentral's name for it is "partial 16S ribosomal RNA". It matches the Rfam family "Bacterial small subunit ribosomal RNA", at positions 524 to 776 of the family's 1533-position model. The record is from RNAcentral.